UACGUAGGGCGCAAGCGUUGUCCGGAAUUAUUGGGCGUAAAGAGCUCGUAGGCGGCUUGUCGCGUCGGUUGUGAAAACCCGGAGCUCAACUCCGGGCCUGCAGUCGAUACGGGCAGACUGGAGUUCGGCAGGGGAGACUGGAAUUCCUGGUGUAGCGGUGAAAUGCGCAGAUAUCAGGAGGAACACCGGUGGCGAAGGCGGGUCUCUGGGCCGAUACUGACGCUGAGGAGCGAAAGCGUGGGGAGCGAACAGG
RNAcentral lists this ribosomal RNA (253 nucleotides) under uncultured bacterium. RNAcentral describes it as "partial 16S ribosomal RNA". It matches the Rfam family "Bacterial small subunit ribosomal RNA", at positions 524 to 776 of the family's 1533-position model. The record is from RNAcentral.